This 381-nucleotide transfer-messenger RNA is filed under the name Clostridia. Its description in RNAcentral is "UBA1212 sp017848335 Standard tmRNA". It matches the Rfam family "transfer-messenger RNA". Rfam says of the family: Bacterial tmRNA, also known as 10Sa RNA or SsrA, is named for its dual tRNA and mRNA-like properties. Its role is to liberate the mRNA from a stalled ribosome. Lineage: Bacteria; Bacillati; Bacillota. RNAcentral also lists the same sequence under 1 other name. The record is from RNAcentral.
GGGGAUGUACUGGUUUCGACGGGGUCAUUGGUGCGCCGGCUGCAGGCAGAGGUUCCCGUUGGCCUCUUUAAAAAGCGGGACUUUAAAAUUAAACGCUAACGACGAUUUAGCACUUCAGGCUGCCUGACGGCAGUCCCGUCGCCCUUCCGGUUACCGGGCCGGGAGCAAGCGGCGUCAAAAAUCCGGUCCUGUCCGUAUGGCGGUUAAAUCGGAGAACGGCUCAGCCAAAGCUUUGAGGCUGCGCGGCACUUAUGAAGCUACCUGACGCACGACCUUGACUGCCGGGGCCUGCCGAAGGGAAUUUUAAAUGACAGUCUAAGCCUGUAGAAGCUCGCGAGGAUCUGAUUUCGGACAGGGGUCCGAUUCCCCUCAUCUCCAUUU